RNAcentral lists this ribosomal RNA (253 nucleotides) under uncultured bacterium. RNAcentral's name for it is "partial 16S ribosomal RNA". It matches the Rfam family "Bacterial small subunit ribosomal RNA", at positions 524 to 776 of the family's 1533-position model. The record is from RNAcentral.
UACGUAGGGGGCAAGCGUUGUCCGGAAUUAUUGGGCGUAAAGAGCGUGUAGGCGGUCCGAUAAGUCGGCUGUGAAAGUCCAGGGCUCAACCCUGGGAUGCCGGUCGAUACUGUCGGACUAGAGUUCGGAAGAGGCGAGUGGAAUUCCCGGUGUAGCGGUGAAAUGCGCAGAUAUCGGGAGGAACACCUAUGGCGAAGGCAGCUCGCUGGGACGUUACUGACGCUGAGGAGCGAAAGCCAGGGGAGCAAACGGG